AGGGUUCGAUUCUGGCUCAGGAUGAACGCUAGCGACAGGCUUAACACAUGCAAGUCGAGGGGCAUCACGGGGGUAGCAAUACAACUGGUGGCGACCGGCGCACGGGUGAGUAACGCGUAUGCAACCUACCUAUCAGAGGGGAAUAACCCGGCGAAAGUCGGACUAAUACCGCAUAAAACAGGGGCACCGCAUGGUGAUAUUUGUUAAAGAAAUUCGCUGAUAGAUGGGCAUGCGUUCCAUUAGGUAGUUGGUGAGGUAACGGCUCACCAAGCCGACGAUGGAUAGGGGAACUGAGAGGUUGGUCCCCCACACUGGUACUGAGACACGGACCAGACUCCUACGGGAGGCAGCAGUGAGGAAUAUUGGUCAAUGGGCGGGAGCCUGAACCAGCCAAGUCGCGUGAAGGAAAGAAGGAUCUAUGGUUCGUAAACUUCUUUUGCAGGGGAAUAAAGUGCAGGACGUGUCCUGUUUUGUAUGUACCCUGAGAAUAAGGAUCGGCUAACUCCGUGCCAGCAGCAGC
This 520-nucleotide ribosomal RNA is filed under the name uncultured bacterium. RNAcentral's name for it is "bacterial SSU rRNA". It matches the Rfam family "Bacterial small subunit ribosomal RNA", at positions 8 to 518 of the family's 1533-position model. The record is from RNAcentral.